UACGUAGGGGCUAGCGUUAUCCGGAAUCACUGGGCGUAAAGGGCGCGUAGGCGGCCUGUUAAGUCCGAUGUUAAAGACUGGGGCUCAACCCCAGCAUUGCGUUGGAUACUGGCAGGCUUGACGGUUGGAGAGGCGAGUGGAAUUACCAGUGUAGCGGUGAAAUGCGUAGAUACUGGUAGGAACACCCAUUGCGAAGGCAGCUCGCUGGACAACACGUGACGCUGAGGCGCGAAAGUGUGGGGAGCAAACCGGAUUAUAUACCCCUGUA
RNAcentral lists this ribosomal RNA (268 nucleotides) under uncultured prokaryote. RNAcentral describes it as "partial 16S ribosomal RNA". It matches the Rfam family "Bacterial small subunit ribosomal RNA", at positions 524 to 792 of the family's 1533-position model. The record is from RNAcentral.